Long non-coding RNA from Sebastes umbrosus (honeycomb rockfish), 621 nucleotides. RefSeq lists it as uncharacterized. Lineage: Eukaryota; Metazoa; Chordata; Actinopteri; Perciformes; Sebastidae. The transcript has 5 exons. The record is from RefSeq and is a predicted model, not a curated record.
UUCUUGACAUAUUCAUCAGCACUGCGAGCCAAACACCAGCGGGUGCUCUGUGCUGUGGACGAACUGUGGACGAUGAUCUCCAAAACGUUCAUCAGAUCACACUGAAACUGAUCCAGAGUCUCGGACCUCCUGAAUCAGACACAAGUCGCACCGAGAAAGGAUCUGGGGAGCAAAAGAAAGAAAAGAAAGAUCCAUCAGCUCUGCACGUUGAAAGCGCAGAUUUUCAGGGAAGAUGUGACGUUCAACACGCACAACCCCACAACAAACAGCAGCACCGCCGUCUUCAUCUUGCAGACGAUUAUCACUCUUGCCUGUUUCACCAGGAGACUGACCUCCGCCCAGCUGGGAUCCAUCUCUUCAGUGAGCCGUGGUGUAUUUGGGGAACAUGCAGGUCUUCAACUUGCUCUCUGAAAGGAGGAUGCCACAGCCACAACAUGGCGACCCCCGCCACAGCGAGGAGAAGAAGGACGAACAUGCACACCUUCAACCAAGAGCAACGCCGCGUCUAAAUAAAGAGGGAAGAAAUGUCAAAGUUAUACGUCACAGAGGAAUCACAGUCGUUACUGCUGAUGUUGUAGCUGCAGCAAAAAGGAAGCAAAAUAAAUGGGUACAGAAAAUGUG